GGCAGCAGCCGCGGUAACACCGGCGGCCCGAGUGGUGAUCGUGAUUAUUGGGUCUAAAGGGUCCGUAGCCGGUUUGGUCAGUCCUCCGGGAAAUCUGAUAGCUCAACUAUUAGGCUUUCGGGGGAUACUGCCAGACUUGGAACCGGGAGAGGUAAGAGGUACUACAGGGGUAGGAGUGAAAUCUUGUAAUCCCUGUGGGACCACCUGUGGCGAAGGCGUCUUACCAGAACGGGUUCGACGGUGAGGGACGAAAGCUGGGGGCACGAACCGGAUUAGAUACCCGGGUAGUCCCAGCCGUAAACGAUGCUCGCUAGGUGUCAGGCAUGGCGCGACCGUGUCUGGUGCCGCAGGGAAGCCGUGAAGCGAGCCACCUGGGAAGUACGGCCGCAAGGCUGAAACUUAAAGGAAUUGGCGGGGGAGCACAACAACGGGUGGAAGCCUGCGGUUUAAUUGGACUCAACGCCGGACAACUCACCGGGGGCGACAGCAAUAUGUAGGCCAAGCUGAAGACUUUGCCUGAAUCGCUGAGAAGAGGUGCAUGG
This 542-nucleotide ribosomal RNA is filed under the name uncultured archaeon. Its description in RNAcentral is "bacterial SSU rRNA". It matches the Rfam family "Archaeal small subunit ribosomal RNA", at positions 457 to 997 of the family's 1478-position model. The record is from RNAcentral.